This 69-nucleotide transfer RNA is filed under the name Rattus norvegicus (Norway rat). It matches the Rfam family "tRNA". From Rfam's summary of the family: Transfer RNA (tRNA) molecules are approximately 80 nucleotides in length. Their secondary structure includes four short double-helical elements and three loops (D, anti-codon, and T loops). Further hydrogen bonds mediate the characteristic L-shaped molecular structure. tRNAs have two regions of fundamental functional importance: the anti-codon, which is responsible for specific mRNA codon recognition, and the 3' end, to which the tRNAs corresponding amino acid is attached (by aminoacyl-tRNA synthetases). tRNAs cope with the degeneracy of the genetic code in two manners: having more than one tRNA (with a specific anti-codon) for a particular amino acid; and 'wobble' base-pairing, i.e. permitting non-standard base-pairing at the 3rd anti-codon position. Lineage: Eukaryota; Metazoa; Chordata; Mammalia; Rodentia; Muridae. The record is from Rfam by way of RNAcentral.
GGGGACUUAGCUCAGUGGUAGAGCGCUUGCCUAGGAAGCGCAAGGCCCUGGGUUCGGUCCCCAGCUCCU